CCUACGGGAGGCAGCAGUGGGGAAUUUUGGACAAUGGGGGCAACCCUGAUCCAGCAAUGCCGCGUGAGUGAAGAAGGCCCUCGGGUUGUAAAGCUCUUUUGUCAGGGAAGAAACGGUCUACUCUAAUACAGUGGGCUAAUGACGGUACCUGAAGAAUAAGCACCGGCUAACUACGUGCCAGCAGCCGCGGUAAUACGUAGGGUGCAAGCGUUAAUCGGAAUUACUGGGCGUAAAGCGUGCGCAGGCGGUUUUAUAAGACAGAGGUGAAAUCCCCGGGCUCAACCUGGGAACUGCCUUUGUGACUGUAAGGCUAGAGUGUGUCAGAGGGGGUAGAAUUCCACGUGUAGCAGUGAAAUGCGUAGAUAUGUGGAGGAAUACCGAUGGCGAAGGCAGCCCCCUGGGAUAACACUGACGCUCAUGCACGAAAGCGUGGGGAGCAAACAGGAUUAGAUACCCUGGUAGUCCACGCCCUAAACGAUGUCUACUAGUUGUCGGGACUUAAUUGUCUUGGUAACGCAGCUACGCGUGAGUAGACCGCCGUCGGGAGGUACGGUCGCGAGAAGUUAAACUAACGAAAGAAGUUAGUACGGCGUGAGACGUCGCCGACGGACGACGACGAGGGAGGAGG
Molecule: ribosomal RNA, 628 nt
Filed under: uncultured bacterium
Lineage: Bacteria
Description: bacterial SSU rRNA
Rfam family: Bacterial small subunit ribosomal RNA (bases 1-539)
Source: RNAcentral